Molecule: ribosomal RNA, 63 nt
Filed under: Io ambondrombeensis
Lineage: Eukaryota; Viridiplantae; Streptophyta; Magnoliopsida; Asterales; Asteraceae
Description: partial 25S ribosomal RNA
Rfam family: Eukaryotic large subunit ribosomal RNA
Source: RNAcentral
GCGACCCCRGGUCAGGCGGGACUACCCGCUGAGUUUAAGCAUAUCAAUAAGCGGAGGAAAAGA